Molecule: long non-coding RNA, 185 nt
Organism: Lycium ferocissimum
Lineage: Eukaryota; Viridiplantae; Streptophyta; Magnoliopsida; Solanales; Solanaceae
Exons: 3
Source: RefSeq, a predicted model, not a curated record
AACCGAUAAGGGAAGAGAUUCGGAUUUUCAAGAAAGAAGUGUUUGACUACAUGGAUAACUACUUCAAAAAGUUGUUAGAUGCAAUAAAGGGCAAUCAAACACCAGAUAAGGUCGGCGACACAAUGUUAAAAGCUGACUUACAUAGUGAUGGUGGGAUUUAUCAAGGCAAUCAAAGUGGCGGUACA